CAUUUCUUGGUCUAGAUCCGGACCCUUGGUUUUAAUCGAAAUGGACUGAUAGGGUCUCUCGGAGUGUCAUCUCACUCGUUACCCCUGCAUUCCAACAACUGCUCAGGCGUGGGCCCUGUUUGCCUCCCUCCACAGGCUGGGAACCCGGCUGAGCAGCUACUCACCAUGCAGUGCUUGCUCUAAAGCGGAAGACCACGCUAAGUCAUUAAUGGGGCGGAAGGCUGCAGGCUGAAGCCACAUCUACAGCAAGGCUGCCCAAGGUCACACAGCUGGAAAUCCUGG
RNAcentral lists this long non-coding RNA (282 nucleotides) under Heterocephalus glaber (naked mole-rat). RNAcentral describes it as "lncRNA (ENSHGLG00100046038.1)". The record is from RNAcentral. Lineage: Eukaryota; Metazoa; Chordata; Mammalia; Rodentia; Bathyergidae.